AGGACGAACGCUGGCGGCGUGCUUAACACAUGCAAGUCGAGCGGAAAGGCCCUUCGGGGUACUCGAGCGGCGAACGGGUGAGUAACACGUGAGUAAUCUGCCCCUAGCUCUGGGAUAGCUCCGGGAAACCGGGAUUAAUACCGGAUACGACCACUUUAGACAUCUGUUGUGGUGGAAAGAAUUUUGGCUAGGGAUGAGCUCGCGGCCUAUCAGCUUGUUGGUGGGGUAAUGGCCUACCAAGGCGACGACGGGUAGCCGGCCUGAGAGGGCGACCGGCCACACUGGGACUGAGACACGGCCCAGACUCCUACGGGAGGCAGCAGUGGGGAAUAUUGCGCAAUGGGCGAAAGCCUGACGCAGCGACGCCGCGUGAGGGAUGAAGGCCUUCGGGUUGUAAACCUCUUUCAGCAGGGACGAAGCGAAAGUGACGGUACCUGCAGAAGAAGCACCGGCUAACUACGUGCCAGCAGCCGC
RNAcentral lists this ribosomal RNA (474 nucleotides) under uncultured bacterium. RNAcentral describes it as "SSU rRNA". It matches the Rfam family "Bacterial small subunit ribosomal RNA", at positions 26 to 518 of the family's 1533-position model. The record is from RNAcentral.